This 449-nucleotide ribosomal RNA is filed under the name uncultured prokaryote. RNAcentral's name for it is "bacterial SSU rRNA". It matches the Rfam family "Bacterial small subunit ribosomal RNA", at positions 355 to 796 of the family's 1533-position model. The record is from RNAcentral.
UGGGGAAUCUUGGGCAAUGGGCGAAAGCCUGACCCAGCCAUGCCGCGUGUGUGAAGAAGGCCUUAGGGUUGUAAAGCACUUUCAGCAGCGAAGAAACGCGACGAGUUAAUACCUCGUUGUUUUGACGUUAACUGCAGAAGAAGCACCGGCUAACUCCGUGCCAGCAGCCGCGGUAAUACGGAGGGUGCGAACGUUAAUCGGAAUUACUGGGCGUAAAGCGCGCGUAGGCGGAUAGGUAAGUGGGAUGUGAAAGCCCCGGGCUCAACCUGGGAACUGCAUUCCAAACUGCCGAUCUAGAGUUUGGUAGAGGGAGGUGGAAUUUCCUGUGUAGCGGUGAAAUGCGUAGAUAUAGGAAGGAACACCAGUGGCGAAGGCGGCCUCCUGGACCAAAACUGACGCUGAGGUGCGAAAGCGUGGGGAGCAAACAGGAUUAGAUACCCCCGUAGUCC